RNAcentral lists this ribosomal RNA (454 nucleotides) under Staphylococcus epidermidis. RNAcentral describes it as "bacterial SSU rRNA". It matches the Rfam family "Bacterial small subunit ribosomal RNA", at positions 38 to 475 of the family's 1533-position model. Lineage: Bacteria; Bacillati; Bacillota; Bacilli; Caryophanales; Staphylococcaceae. The record is from RNAcentral.
GGCGGCGUGCCUAAUACAUGCAAGUCGAGCGAACAGACGAGGAGCUUGCUCCUCUGACGUUAGCGGCGGACGGGUGAGUAACACGUGGAUAACCUACCUAUAAGACUGGGAUAACUUCGGGAAACCGGAGCUAAUACCGGAUAAUAUAUUGAACCGCAUGGUUCAAUAGUGAAAGACGGUUUUGCUGUCACUUAUAGAUGGAUCCGCGCCGCAUUAGCUAGUUGGUAAGGUAACGGCUUACCAAGGCAACGAUGCGUAGCCGACCUGAGAGGGUGAUCGGCCACACUGGAACUGAGACACGGUCCAGACUCCUACGGGAGGCAGCAGUAGGGAAUCUUCCGCAAUGGGCGAAAGCCUGACGGAGCAACGCCGCGUGAGUGAUGAAGGUCUUCGGAUCGUAAAACUCUGUUAUUAGGGAAGAACAAAUGUGUAAGUAACUAUGCACGUCUGACGG